UACGUAGGUGGCAAGCGUUGUCCGGAUUUACUGGGUGUAAAGGGCGUGCAGCCGGGCUGACAAGUCAGAUGUGAAAUCCCGCGGCCCAACCGUGGAACUGCCUUUGAAACUAUAGAGCUUGAGUGUCGGAGAGGGUGGCGGAAUUCCAGGUGUAGGAGUGAAAUCCGUAGAUAUCUGGAGGAACACCGGUGGCGAAGGCGGCCACCUGGACGACAACUGACGCUGAGGUGCGAAAGCGUGGGUAGCAAACAGG
RNAcentral lists this ribosomal RNA (253 nucleotides) under uncultured bacterium. RNAcentral's name for it is "partial 16S ribosomal RNA". It matches the Rfam family "Bacterial small subunit ribosomal RNA", at positions 524 to 776 of the family's 1533-position model. The record is from RNAcentral.